RNAcentral lists this long non-coding RNA (1306 nucleotides) under Solanum tuberosum (potato). Its description in RNAcentral is "long non-coding RNA (STUB_LNC005619)". The record is from RNAcentral. Lineage: Eukaryota; Viridiplantae; Streptophyta; Magnoliopsida; Solanales; Solanaceae.
UGGAGGUGAAGGAAGGGAAUAACAAAUGUUUUGAUGGCAAGGGUAGCAACAUUUAAAAGAUAGAGUCAGAGUCUUAGUUUGCUCUAUUUUUGUGUAAACUAGAGUGUGUGUGGGGGGGAGGGGGGGAUAUAGUAGCACUGGUUGACUUCAUAGGUAACUUGUAAAGUUCUUCUACUCUCGAAGUCCACUUGGAGAAAUUCCCAUACUUUUGGUGGGUGUAAGAUUCUUCCUCGUCAUUUCUUGGAUGUGUUUUUUGUGAAUACAAAGUCACCCUUUUCUCAAAAAACUGGUGGAGGUGCAAAUAGAGAUCUAGAAGAUGGAGUGAAGGGAUGGACUAUGGAGAAAUCUCUAAAUGGAAGAAUCGGUAUAACCUCGUAAAUGUCUAGAUGCUCUAGAGAAGAGUUUGUGAAGUAGGAUCAACCUCAAAGAAAGUAACAUCAGAUGACAUAAGAAAUUGCUAAAGGUCAAGUGAGUGGCAUUGAUAUCCUUAUUAUACCCUCGAGUAACCAAAAGAGACACAUUUAAGAGCAUGAGGAGCCAAUUUGUCUUUUCUUAGAGCGAGGAUAUGGACAAAGCAUGUACUCCUCCAAAGACAUGAUGAAAGAGAACAAAGUUAACUAAACCAAAUAGUGUGUAGGACCUAAUUUUAAAUAGAAACGGAAGGCAUAUGAUUAAUUAGAUGGCAAGAUGCGACUACUGCAUCCCCCUAAAAGCACAAUGGAACAUUUUUGGUCAAUGAGUACGGUGUGUGCAGUCUCCAACGAUGUGCCUAUUUUCUCUUCACAACCUCAUUUUGUUGUGAGGUGCAAGGACAAGAUAUUUGAUGAAGAAUUCCAAGGAAAGACAUAAAUUGUUGAAAUUAAGAUGAUAAAUAUGCCCCCAAGGCCUAGCUCAAGUGGCAAAAGGUGGAGGAUUUGUGGCUUAGGUCGCAGGUUCAAGCCCCACACCAUGCAAAGCGAAGCCCGGUAUUUAAGUGGAUAGAGUGUGUGUGGGGGGGAGGGGGGGAUAUAGUAGCACUGGUUGACUUCAUAGGUAACUUGUAAAGUUCUUCUACUCUCGAAGUCCACUUGGAGAAAUUCCCAUACUUUUGGUGGGUGUAAGAUUCUUCCUCGUCAUUUCUUGGAUGUGUUUUUUGUGAAUACAAAGUCACCCUUUUCUCAAAAAACUGGUGGAGGUGCAAAUAGAGAUCUAGAAGAUGGAGUGAAGGGAUGGACUAUGGAGAAAUCUCUAAAUGGAAGAAUCGGUAUAACCUCGUAAAUGUCUAGAUGCUCUAGAGAAGAGUUUGUGAAGUAGGAUCAACCUCAAA